This 1144-nucleotide ribosomal RNA is filed under the name Salmonella enterica subsp. enterica serovar Chester. Its description in RNAcentral is "partial 23S ribosomal RNA". It matches the Rfam family "Bacterial large subunit ribosomal RNA", at positions 711 to 1835 of the family's 2925-position model. Lineage: Bacteria; Pseudomonadati; Pseudomonadota; Gammaproteobacteria; Enterobacterales; Enterobacteriaceae. The record is from RNAcentral.
AGACCCGAAACCCGGUGAUCUAGCCAUGGGCAGGUUGAAGGUUGGGUAACACUAACUGGAGGACCGAACCGACUAAUGUUGAAAAAUUAGCGGAUGACCUGUGGCUGGGGGUGAAAGGCCAAUCAAACCGGGAGAUAGCUGGUUCUCCCCGAAAGCUAUUUAGGUAGCGCCUCGUGAAUUCAUCUCCGGGGGUAGAGCACUGUUUCGGCUAGGGGGCCAUCCCGGCUUACCAACCCGAUGCAAACUGCGAAUACCGGAGAAUGUUAUCACGGGAGACACACGGCGGGUGCUAACGUCCGUCGUGAAGAGGGAAACAACCCAGACCGCCAGCUAAGGUCCCAAAGUCAUGGUUAAGUGGGAAACGAUGUGGGAAGGCCCAGACAGCCAGGAUGUUGGCUUAGAAGCAGCCAUCAUUUAAAGAAAGCGUAAUAGCUCACUGGUCGAGUCGGCCUGCGCGGAAGAUGUAACGGGGCUAAACCAUGCACCGAAGCUGCGGCAGCGACGCUGAUGCGUUGUUGGGUAGGGGAGCGUUCUGUAAGCCUGCGAAGGUGGCCUGUGAGGGUUGCUGGAGGUAUCAGAAGUGCGAAUGCUGACAUAAGUAACGAUAAAGCGGGUGAAAAGCCCGCUCGCCGGAAGACCAAGGGUUCCUGUCCAACGUUAAUCGGGGCAGGGUGAGUCGACCCCUAAGGCGAGGCCGAAAGGCGUAGUCGAUGGGAAACGGGUUAAUAUUCCCGUACUUGGUGUUACUGCGAAGGGGGGACGGAGAAGGCUAUGUUGGCCGGGCGACGGUUGUCCCGGUUUAAGCGUGUAGGUGUGUGUUCCAGGUAAAUCCGGUUCACUUUAACACUGAGGCGUGAUGACGAGGCACUACGGUGCUGAAGCAACAAAUGCCCUGCUUCCAGGAAAAGCCUCUAAGCAUCAGGUAACAUCAAAUCGUACCCCAAACCGACACAGGUGGUCAGGUAGAGAAUACCAAGGCGCUUGAGAGAACUCGGGUGAAGGAACUAGGCAAAAUGGUGCCGUAACUUCGGGAGAAGGCACGCUGACACGUAGGUGAAGUGAUUUACUCAUGGAGCUGAAGUCAGUCGAAGAUACCAGCUGGCUGCAACUGUUUAUUAAAAACACAGCACUGUGCAAACACGAA